CAGUCGCCGCGGUAAUACGUAGGGUGCAAGCGUUAAUCGGAAUUACUGGGCGUAAAGCGUGCGCAGGCGGUUAUAUAAGUCAGAUGUAAAAUCCCCGGGCUCAACCUGGGAACUGCAUUUGAGACUGUAUGGCUAGAGUGUGUCAGAGGGGGGUAGAAUUCCACGUGUAGCAGUGAAAUGCGUAGAUAUGUGGAGGAAUACCGAUGGCGAAGGCAGCCCCCUGGGAUAACACUGACGCUCAUGCACGAAAGCGUGGGGAGCAAACAGGAUUAGAUACCCCAGUAGUCCCUGUCUCUUAUAC
RNAcentral lists this ribosomal RNA (301 nucleotides) under uncultured bacterium. RNAcentral describes it as "partial 16S ribosomal RNA". It matches the Rfam family "Bacterial small subunit ribosomal RNA", at positions 509 to 807 of the family's 1533-position model. The record is from RNAcentral.